CAAAAUCAAGAAACAAUCAAGCCAAAUAAAAGGACUACUAUGAAUUGUUGACAAUAUGGAUGAACAUGACUUGACAAAACAUGUAUAGAUUCAGAAAAUUAAAGACUCAAAGCAUAAUAUGAACCAAAUAAUGAAAGCAAUAAAGACUCAAAAGCCUAAAAGAAAAUAGCAACUCAAGGUGUAUGGAAUCCUAUCACAAAUUGCACAAGAACUUGUUCAAGAUCAAUUGAACAAGAGUGCUUCGGUUGGAUCUUCCACAAAGCACACCAAACAAAUUAAAAUGUAAAAAAAACAGCAAGACAAGUAUGGAAAUUAAAUGACAAUAUGAAAUAAAGAAGAACUAAAAUUGAAAAGACCAAGAGCUACUCAUCUUGAAGAACCAAAGCUCAUGAU
Molecule: long non-coding RNA, 393 nt
Filed under: Phaseolus vulgaris (common bean)
Lineage: Eukaryota; Viridiplantae; Streptophyta; Magnoliopsida; Fabales; Fabaceae
Description: long non-coding RNA (PVUL_LNC005370)
Source: RNAcentral